This 2659-nucleotide long non-coding RNA is filed under the name Equus caballus (horse). RNAcentral describes it as "lncRNA (ENSECAG00000056115.1)". Lineage: Eukaryota; Metazoa; Chordata; Mammalia; Perissodactyla; Equidae. The record is from RNAcentral.
CGGAGCUCCAGGGGACCCCCCACCCAGACCCCCGGCGCCACCUUCCCGCACCCGAGCUGGGAGUGGGUAGUGGUGGGGGCCAUCGAGCGGGUUAAAGGGCGCGUGCACAGUGCACCGCCAGGGGAGGCGGGGAGGCGACGGCGACGGCCACACUCAGAGCCACAGGGUCACCUGGACAGGGGUCAGCCAGGCCUUAAGGGAAGAAGGAAGGAUGACCUUAUCUCUAGAAACUCUCAUCAAUGUGGAAGGCAAGGAGUCAAGCCUGCAUAAUAACCUGAUUCUUGUUUACUGUGCUUGUCUGGUAAUCUCCCAUAACUGACUCUCCCCACCCCCAACAUCCUCCUUUGUCUUUAGCUGUGGGUGGUAUUUAAGAUAAGAACUUCUGCCAUUUUGGGUAGUUGCUCAGUUUGCCUGAGCCUCUCCAAUGUAUACAUGAUAUAAAGCUUUGUUUAAUUCUCUCUGUUAUUCUGUCUCAUGUGAAUUUAAUUCGUUUUCUGGCCAGAAGGACCCAGAGCAGGUAGAGGAAAUGUCUUCCUCCCCUACAAUGUAAAAAACUCUUACUACUCAAUAAGACAAACAACUGGUAAAAACAUAGCAAUAGACUUGAAUACAUACUUCUCAAGAUAUAUGAGUCACCCAUAAGCACAUGAACAGAUGAUGCUAAACUUUAUUUGUCAUCAGGGAAAUUCCAGUUAAAACCACAAUGAGAUACCACUUUGCACCCACUAGACUGAUAAAAUUUAAAAGAACUGAUAAUACCAAAUGUUGGUGAGAUUGUGAAUUAACUGAAACUAACUUCCAUACACUGCUGGUAAGAGUGUAAAAUGGUACAACCACUUUGGAAAACAAUUUGGUAGGUUUUUUAAAAUUAUUUUUCAAUGAAGUUAUACAUUUACCAUAUGACCCAGUAAUUCCACUUCUAGGUAUUUACCCAAAAGAAAUUUAAAAACAUAUCCACACGAAGACUUGCAUAUGAAUGUUCAUAGCAGCUUUAUUUGUAAUAGCCCCAAACUAGACCCAAAUGUUCAUCAGCAGGUGAAAUACUACUCCAGUCAUGUCUUGCUUAACAAUGGGGUUAUGUUCUGAGAAAUGUGUUGUUAUGCAAACAUCACAGAGUGUACUUACACAAACCUAAAUGGUAUAGCCUACUACACACCUAGGCCAUUUGGUAUUAAUCUUUUUUUUUUCUUUUAAAGAUUUUAUUUUUCCUUUUUCUCCCCAAAUCCCCACAGUACAUAGUUGUGUAUUUUUAGUUGUGGGUCCUUCUAGUUGUGGCAUGUGGGAUGCCGCCUCAGCAUGGCUCGAUGAGCGGUGCCAUGUCCAUGUCCAGGAUUCGAACUGGUGAAACCCUGGGCUGCCAAAGCGGAGCGCGUGAACUCAACCACUUGGCCACAGAGCUGGCCCCUAUUUAGUAUUAAUCUUAUGGGACCACGCUCAUAUAUGCGGUCCGUUGACAGAAAUGUCGUUAUUUGGCACAUGGCCAUACUACUGCUAUUGCUAAUAAAAGUGAUAUAUCCAUACAAUAGAAUGCUUCUCAGCAACAAAAAAGAACGAACUCCUUCUGUACACGAUAACAUGGAUGAAGAUCAAAAAUACUAUGCUGAGUGGAAGAAGCCAGAACAAAAGACUACAUACUGUAUGAAUCCAUCAUAUGAAGUUCUAGACCAGUUGUAAGUCCUUUUAGUUCUUCUGUGUGAACUGCCACCACAGCAUGGCUACUGACAGACGAGUGGUGUGGUUCCGUGCCCAAGAAGUUAACCCCGGGCCACUGAAGCAGAACAUGCUGAACUUUAACUGCUAGGCCGUCAGGACUGGCUCAAAACCAUCUUGAAAAUGAAGAACAAAGUUGGACGACUCACGCUUCUUAAUUUCAAAACUUCCUCCAAAGCUUCAGUAGUCAAAACAGUCUGAUACUGGCAGAAGGAUAGAUAGAUACUUCAAUGGGAUAGAAUUGAGAGUCCAGAAAUAAACUCAUAAAUCUAUGGUCAAUUGAUUUUCAACAAGGGUGCAAGACCAUUCAAUGGGGAAAGGAUAGUAUCUUCAAUAAAUGGUGCUGGGACAAUUAGAUAUCCACAUGUAGAAGAAUUAGGUUGGACCUUUACCUCACACCAUUUACAAAAGUUAACUCAAAAUGGAUCUAAGACCUAAAUGUAAGAGUUAAAACUGCAAAACUCUUAGAAGGAAACAUAGAUGUAAAUUUCUGUGACCUUGGAUUAGGCAAUGAUUUCACAGAUAUGACACCAAAAGAACUAGCAAUCAGAUAAAAAAAUAGAUAAAUUAGGCUUCUUCAAAAUUAAAAAUUUUUGUGCUUCGAAAGACACCAUCAAGAAAGGGAAAAGACAGCCAAGAGAGUGGGAUAAAAUAUUUGUAAAUCAUAUUUCUGAUAAAAGACUUGUAUCUAGAAUAUAUAAAGAACUCUUACAACUCAACAGUAAAAAAGACAACUCAUUUAAAAAGAAAGGGCAAAAGAUUUGAAUAGACAUUUCUGCAAAGAAGAUAUACAAAUGACUAAUAAGCACAUGAAAAUAUGUUCAACAUCAUUAAUCAUUGGGGAAAUGCAAAUCAAAACCACAAUGAGAUACUACUUUACACCCACUAAGAUGGCUGUAACAAAAGACAGACAAUAACAAGUGUUGGUAAGGAUGUGGAGAAAUUGGAA